UCCAUUGUUCAUAGUUAAGGUUAGAGUUGUGUAGAGUUCAAGAGCCUGAUGGCUGUUGGGAAGAAGCUAUUCUCAAACUUGGUGGUCAUGGUUUCUAGACUCAUGUGUCUUCUUGCUGGUGGCAGGAGCGGG
Amblyraja radiata (thorny skate) is the source of this 132-nucleotide long non-coding RNA. RefSeq lists it as uncharacterized. The transcript has 5 exons. NCBI's taxonomy places the organism in Eukaryota, Metazoa, Chordata, Chondrichthyes, Rajiformes, Rajidae. The record is from RefSeq and is a predicted model, not a curated record.